UGAUGCAGCAACGCCGCGUGAGUGAUGAAGGUUUUCGGGUCGUAAAGCUCUGUCUUCAAGGGAGAUAAUGACGGUACUUGAGGAGGAAGCCCCGGCUAACUACGUGCCAGCAGCCGCGGUAAUACGUAGGGGGCUAGCGUUAUCCGGAAUUACUGGGCGUAAAGGGUGCGUAGGCGGUCUUUCAAGCCAGAAGUGAAAGGCUACGGCUCAACCGUAGUAAGCUUUUGGAACUGUAGGACUUGAGUGCAGGAAAAGAAAGUGGAAUUCCUAAUGUAACGGUGAAAUGCGUAAAUAUUAAGAAGAACACCAGUAGCGAAGGCGGCUCUCUGGACUGUAACUGACGCUUAAGCACGAAAGCGUGGGGAGCAAACAGGAUUAAAAACCCCGGUAG
Molecule: ribosomal RNA, 391 nt
Filed under: Clostridium perfringens
Lineage: Bacteria; Bacillati; Bacillota; Clostridia; Eubacteriales; Clostridiaceae
Description: bacterial SSU rRNA
Rfam family: Bacterial small subunit ribosomal RNA
Source: RNAcentral